ACUCAAAUGAAUUGACGGGGGCCCGCACAAGCGGUGGAGCAUGUGGUUUAAUUCGAUGCAACGCGAAGAACCUUACCUACCCUUGACAUCCUGCGAAGGCCGGAGAGAUCUGGCCGUGCCGAAAGGAGCGCAGAGACAGGUGCUGCAUGGCUGUCGUCAGCUCGUGUUGUGAGAUGUUGGGUUAAGUCCCGUAACGAGCGCAACCCUUGUCCUUAGUUGCCAUCAUUUAGUUGGGGACUCUAAGGAGACUGCCGGUGAGGAACCGGAGGAAGGCGGGGACGACGUCAAGUCAUCAUGGCCUUUAUGGGUAGGGCCACACACGUGCUACAAUGGGGCGUACAGAGGGCCGCGAACCCGCGAGGGGGAGCCAAUCUCAGAAAGCGCCUCGUAGUCCGGAUUGGGGCCUGCAACUCGGCCCCAUGAAGUUGGAAUCGCUAGUAAUCGCGGAUCAGCUACGCCGCGGUGAAUACGUUCCCGGGCCUUGUACACACCGCCCGU
This 498-nucleotide ribosomal RNA is filed under the name uncultured bacterium. RNAcentral describes it as "partial 16S ribosomal RNA". It matches the Rfam family "Bacterial small subunit ribosomal RNA", at positions 899 to 1397 of the family's 1533-position model. The record is from RNAcentral.